GUAGGGUGCGAGCGUUGUCCGGAAUUACUGGGCGUAAAGAGCUCGUAGGCGGUUUGUCACGUCGUCUGUGAAAUCCCUCGGCUUAACCGGGGCCGUGCAGGCGAAUACGGGCAGACUUGAGUACUACAGGGGAGACUGGAAUUCCUGGUGUAGCGGUGAAAUGCGCAGAUAUCAGGAGGAACACCGGUGGCGAAGGCGGGUCUCUGGGUAGUAACUGACGCUGAGGAGCGAAAGCAUGGGUAGCGAACAGGAUUAGAUACCCUGGUAGUCCAUGCCGUAAACGAUGUCUACUAGCGUU
Molecule: ribosomal RNA, 298 nt
Filed under: uncultured bacterium
Lineage: Bacteria
Description: partial 16S ribosomal RNA
Rfam family: Bacterial small subunit ribosomal RNA
Source: RNAcentral